UACGUAGGGUGCGAGCGUUAAUCGGAAUUACUGGGCGUAAAGCGCGCGCAGGCGGUCACCAGCAUCGGUGGUGAAAGCCCCCCGCUCAACGGGGGAGGGUCCAUCGAGAUGGGGUGACUGGAGGCAGGGAGAGGCCAGUGGAAUUCCGCGUGUAGCAGUGAAAUGCGUAGAUAUGCGGAGGAACACCGAUGGCGAAGGCAAUCCCCUGGGCCUGCACUGACGCUCAUGCACGAAAGCGUGGGGAGCAAACAGG
Molecule: ribosomal RNA, 253 nt
Filed under: uncultured bacterium
Lineage: Bacteria
Description: partial 16S ribosomal RNA
Rfam family: Bacterial small subunit ribosomal RNA
Source: RNAcentral